Molecule: ribosomal RNA, 339 nt
Filed under: Triticum aestivum (bread wheat)
Lineage: Eukaryota; Viridiplantae; Streptophyta; Magnoliopsida; Poales; Poaceae
Description: partial small subunit ribosomal RNA
Source: RNAcentral
AUGCCCAGGCCCCCCUACUCCGUUGGGGCGCAGACCGCUGGCCAGCUGACCUUGCAGCUGGCGCCCGAAAUCUCGUCGUCCUGGCGCCAGAGGAAACGCCGCCUGCACUUGUCGAUCUCUUUGAGAAUCUUCUUCGGGACAUGGAGGACGAUGAGGGCGAAGGUUGGCAUUGCACUCAGCACGCAUCGGACGAGGACGCGGCGGCCGGCCAUCGGUAGCAGCUUGCCCUUCCAGCCCGCGUGCCUUGCCUUGAUUCUGUCUUUGAGAAACUUCAAAAGUUAUAGAUAUAUUUUGGACGUAUCUAUGGGGGUGGGCUUCACGACAAUGAAGUACAUGUAG